CUCCAGGGACUACGAGGAGAUGCAGUCGAAGGACAAGGUGAAGUUCUACAAGACACCGGAUUCGGUGUUGCAGAAGCAGCUCGAAAUCUUCGAUCAGGUCGCCGAGAAAAAGUCGGCGGAAAACCCGCUGUUCAAGGAAAUCGUUGAAUCCCAGUUGGCGUUUGCCAAGCGCGCAACCCAGUGGGAGCAGGACACGGUCGUCAGCCGGCG
Molecule: unclassified non-coding RNA, 210 nt
Filed under: Hevea brasiliensis (rubber tree)
Lineage: Eukaryota; Viridiplantae; Streptophyta; Magnoliopsida; Malpighiales; Euphorbiaceae
Source: RNAcentral